AAUAGAUACCCGGGUAGUCCACGCCGUAAACGAUGAAUGCUAGGUGUUAGGGGUUUCGAUACCCUUGGUGCCGAAGUUAACACAUUAAGCAUUCCGCCUGGGGAGUACGGUCGCAAGACUGAAACUCAAAGGAAUUGACGGGGACCCGCACAAGCAGUGGAGUAUGUGGUUUAAUUCGAAGCAACGCGAAGAACCUUACCAGGUCUUGACAUCUGAAUGACCGGUGUAGAGAUACACCUUUCCUUCGGGACAUUCAAGACAGGUGGUGCAUGGUUGUCGUCAGCUCGUGUCGUGAGAUGUUGGGUUAAGUCCCGCAACGAGCGCAACCCUUGAUCUUAGUUGCCAGCAAGUAAGGUUGGGCACUCUAAGGUGACUGCCGGUGACAAACCGGAGGAAGGUGGGGAUGACGUCAAAUCAUCAUGCCCCUUAUGACCUGGGCUACACACGUACUACAAUGGCUGGUACAACGGGAAGCGAAGUCGCGAGAUGGAGCGAAUCCUAUAAAAGCCAGUCUCAGUUCGGAUUGCAGG
RNAcentral lists this ribosomal RNA (530 nucleotides) under uncultured bacterium. RNAcentral's name for it is "bacterial SSU rRNA". It matches the Rfam family "Bacterial small subunit ribosomal RNA", at positions 777 to 1304 of the family's 1533-position model. The record is from RNAcentral.